CCUGACUGCUAUCGGAUUGAUACUAAGCCAUGCGAGUCAUUGUAGUAAUACAAGGCAGACGGCUCAGUAACGCGUAGUCAACCUACCCUAUGGACGGGGAUAACCUCGGGAAACUGAGAAUAAUACCCGAUAGAACAUUAUGCCUGGAAUGGUUUAUGUUUCAAAUAAUUUAUUGCCGUAGGAUGGGACUGCGGCCUAUCAGUUUGUUGGUGAGGUAAUGGCCCACCAAGACUAUUACAGGUACGGGCUCUGAGAGGAGUAGCCCGGAGAUGGGUACUGAGACACGGACCCAGGCCCUAUGGGGCGCAGCAGGCGAGAAAACUUUGCAAUGUGCGAAAGCACGACAAGGUUAAUCCGAGUGGUUUCUGCUAAAGGAACCUUUUGUCAGUCCUAGAAACACUGAUGAAUAAGGGGUGGGCAAGUUCUGGUGUCAGCCGCCGCGGUAAAACCAGCACCUCAAGUGGUCAGGAUGAUUAUUGGGCCUAAAGCAUCCGUAGCCUGCUUUGUUAGUUUUCGGUUAAAUCCAUACGCUCAACGUAUGGGCUGCCGGGAAUACUACAAAGCUAGGGAGUGGGAGAGGUAGACGGUACUCGGUAGGAAGGGGUAAAAUCCUUUGAUCUAUUGAUGACCACCUGUGGCGAAGGCGGUCUACCAGAACACGUCCGACGGUGAGGGAUGAAAGCUGGGGGAGCAAACCGGAUUAGAUACCCGGGUAGUCCCAGCUGUAAACUAUGCAAACUCAGUGAUGCAUUGGCUUGAUGCCAAUGCAGUGCUGCAGGGAAGCCGUUAAGUUUGCCGCCUGGGAAGUACGUACGCAAGUAUGAAACUUAAAGGAAUUGGCGGGGGAGCACCACAAGGGGUGAAGCCUGCGGUUC
RNAcentral lists this ribosomal RNA (875 nucleotides) under uncultured marine group I thaumarchaeote. Its description in RNAcentral is "bacterial SSU rRNA". It matches the Rfam family "Archaeal small subunit ribosomal RNA", at positions 21 to 903 of the family's 1478-position model. Lineage: Archaea; Thermoproteati; Nitrososphaerota. The record is from RNAcentral.